UGGGGAAUAUUGCACAAUGGGCGCAAGCCUGAUGCAGCCAUGCCGCGUGUGUGAAGAAGGCCUUCGGGUUGUAAAGCACUUUCAGCGAGGAGGAAGGUGGUGAACUUAAUACGUUCAUCAGUUGACGUUACUCGCAGAAGAAGCACCGGCUAACUCCGUGCCAGCAGCCGCGGUAAUACGGAGGGUGCAAGCGUUAAUCGGAAUUACUGGGCGUAAAGCGCACGCAGGCGGUUUGUUAAGUCAGAUGUGAAAUCCCCGGGCUCAACCUGGGAACUGCAUUUGAAACUGGCAAGCUAGAGUCUCGUAGAGGGGGGUAGAAUUCCAGGUGUAGCGGUGAAAUGCGUAGAGAUCUGGAGGAAUACCGGUGGCGAAGGCGGCCCCCCUGGACGAAGACUGACGCUCAGGUGCGAAAGCGUGGGGCAGCAAACAGGAUUAGAUACCCUGGUAGUCCACGCUGUAAACGAUGUCGAUUUGGAGGUUGUGCCCUUGAGGCGUGGCUUCCGGAGCUAACGCGUUAAAUCGACCGCCUGGGGAGUACGGCCGCAAGGUUAAAACUCAAAUGAAUUGACGGGGUCAUAGCUG
RNAcentral lists this ribosomal RNA (582 nucleotides) under uncultured bacterium. RNAcentral's name for it is "partial 16S ribosomal RNA". It matches the Rfam family "Bacterial small subunit ribosomal RNA", at positions 355 to 932 of the family's 1533-position model. The record is from RNAcentral.